GGUCCCUUAGCCCAACGGCAGAGGCAAUACGCUUAGAACGUAUUCAGGUAUCGGUUCAAAUCCGAUAGGGACUA
RNAcentral lists this transfer RNA (74 nucleotides) under Streptomyces sp. B1I3. RNAcentral describes it as "tRNA-Leu". It matches the Rfam family "tRNA". From Rfam's summary of the family: Transfer RNA (tRNA) molecules are approximately 80 nucleotides in length. Their secondary structure includes four short double-helical elements and three loops (D, anti-codon, and T loops). Further hydrogen bonds mediate the characteristic L-shaped molecular structure. tRNAs have two regions of fundamental functional importance: the anti-codon, which is responsible for specific mRNA codon recognition, and the 3' end, to which the tRNAs corresponding amino acid is attached (by aminoacyl-tRNA synthetases). tRNAs cope with the degeneracy of the genetic code in two manners: having more than one tRNA (with a specific anti-codon) for a particular amino acid; and 'wobble' base-pairing, i.e. permitting non-standard base-pairing at the 3rd anti-codon position. Lineage: Bacteria; Bacillati; Actinomycetota; Actinomycetes; Kitasatosporales; Streptomycetaceae. The record is from RNAcentral.